AGAGUUUGAUCCUGGCUCAGAACUAACGCUGGCGGCGCGUCUUAAACAUGCAAGUCGAGCGGCAGCACUUCGGGUGGCGAGCGGCGAACGGGUGAGUAACACGUAGGUAAUUUGCCCACGGAUGGGGGAUAACCUUUCGAAAGGAAGGCUAAUACCGCAUAACACCAUGGUUACCACGGUAAUUAUGGUCAAAGCAGCAAUGCGUCUGUGGAGAAGCCUGCGUCCGAUUAGGUAGUUGGUAAGGUAACGGCUUACCAAGGCGACGACGGGUAGGGGACCUGAGAGGGUGGCCCCCCACAAUGGAACUGAAACACGGUCCAUACACCUACGGGUGGCAGCAGUAGGGAAUAUUGCACAAUGGGCGAAAGCCUGAUGCAGCAACGCCGCGUGCGCGAAGAAGGUCUUCGGAUCGUAAAGCGCUUUUCUGGGAGAUGAGAAAGGACAGUAUCCCAGGAAUAAGUCUCGGCUAACUACGUGCCAGCCGCCGCGGUAAUUC
RNAcentral lists this ribosomal RNA (496 nucleotides) under uncultured Leptonema sp. RNAcentral's name for it is "bacterial SSU rRNA". It matches the Rfam family "Bacterial small subunit ribosomal RNA", at positions 8 to 526 of the family's 1533-position model. The record is from RNAcentral. Lineage: Bacteria; Pseudomonadati; Spirochaetota; Leptospiria; Leptospirales; Leptospiraceae.